AAAGAAUGGUAUCUCUAGAGGUGCGGUGGUUCGAGGUUCGGGUCAUGGUGGUUUAAUGGAUUCACGAUGAAAGAAUGGUAUCUCUAGAGGUAGUGCUUUAUGGUGGUUCGGUAAUCUAUACUCGCGGUGGCUCGUGGUGGUUUGCGAUGGCUUUCCGAUUCGAGGCUUCCCUUCUCACGAUGCAACAAGAUGAGUCUCUGUCCAAGAGGGCACACGAUGCCCCUGAGACCCAUUACAUCACUUCACAUGCUUGAUUAGGUUUUGGGACCUAUCCCUCAAUCAUGGAAUCACAGAUCCGCGGGAAAUCGGUAAGGG
This 315-nucleotide long non-coding RNA is filed under the name Lupinus angustifolius (narrow-leaved blue lupine). RNAcentral's name for it is "long non-coding RNA (LANG_LNC003482)". The record is from RNAcentral. Lineage: Eukaryota; Viridiplantae; Streptophyta; Magnoliopsida; Fabales; Fabaceae.